CCCUUAAAUUUUUACACCAAGAAGCAUCAUGCCAACCUGAUCCAUAUCAGCCUUGGUACCAUCCCUUAAGGUGCUAGGUUUAAAUAGGAGAAGAGAUAAGAUAUUAAGUGAGAAGAUAAGAGUCCAAACAUCAUAGGACUCUUAAUUUAUGCUGCCCACUACCAAAUCUUUUUGUGCCCUCAUACCUCAUGGGAGAAAGGAGUUUAAGGUGACUUCUUACAUGCUAAAAAGGAGUGGAGAGCAUUGGGAAU
Molecule: long non-coding RNA, 251 nt
Filed under: Elaeis guineensis (African oil palm)
Lineage: Eukaryota; Viridiplantae; Streptophyta; Magnoliopsida; Arecales; Arecaceae
Description: long non-coding RNA (EGUI_LNC049975)
Source: RNAcentral